RNAcentral lists this ribosomal RNA (431 nucleotides) under uncultured bacterium. RNAcentral's name for it is "partial 16S ribosomal RNA". It matches the Rfam family "Bacterial small subunit ribosomal RNA", at positions 29 to 507 of the family's 1533-position model. The record is from RNAcentral.
AACGAACGCUGGCGGCAGGCUUAACACAUGCAAGUCGAGCGCCCCGCAAGGGGAGCGGCCGCCGGGUGAGUAACGCGUGGGAACGUACCUUUUGGUUCGGAACAACUCCGGGACACUGGAGCUAAUACCGGAUAAGCCCUAACGGGGAAAGAUUUAUCGCCGAAAGAUCGGCCCGCGUCUGAUUAGCUAGUUGGUGAGGUAACGGCUCACCAAGGCGACGAUCAGUAGCUGGUCUGAGAGGAUGAUCAGCCACACUGGGACUGAGACACGGCCCAGACUCCUACGGGAGGCAGCAGUGGGGAAUAUUGGACAAUGGGCGCAAGCCUGAUCCAGCCAUGCCGCGUGAGUGAUGAAGGCCUUAGGGUUGUAAAGCUCUUUUGUCCGGGAAGAUAAUGACUGUACCGGAAGAAUAAGCCCCGGCUAACUUCGUG